UGCCUGCCCAGUGAAAACUUUUAACGGCCGCGGUAUCCUAACCGUGCAAAGGUAGCAUAAUCACUUGUCCCCUAAAUAGGGACUAGAAUGAAUGGCCAAACGAGGGCCUAACUGUCUCAUAUAGCCCACCAAUAAACCUGAUCUCUCAGUACAAAAGCUGAGAUAAACACAUUAGACAAGAAGACCCUGUGGAGCUUUAAGCCCUAGUGCUAAAACCGCCAACAUUAGCACACGCUUUUAGUUGGGGCGACUAUGGAGCAAAACAAAACCUCCACGAUACAACCCAAGACCAACACGUCUAAACCAACACUAAAGACCCAGUAAAACUGACCACCGAACCAAGUUACCCCAGGGAUAACAGCGCCAUCCUCCCCAAGAGUCCUUAUCGCCAGGAGGGCUUACGACCUCGAUGUUGGAUCAGGACACCCAGGUGGUGUAGCCGCUACCAAAG
Molecule: ribosomal RNA, 451 nt
Filed under: Tarentola annularis
Lineage: Eukaryota; Metazoa; Chordata; Lepidosauria; Squamata; Phyllodactylidae
Description: partial 16S ribosomal RNA
Rfam family: Bacterial large subunit ribosomal RNA
Source: RNAcentral